RNAcentral lists this ribosomal RNA (552 nucleotides) under uncultured bacterium. RNAcentral's name for it is "bacterial SSU rRNA". It matches the Rfam family "Bacterial small subunit ribosomal RNA", at positions 772 to 1333 of the family's 1533-position model. The record is from RNAcentral.
ACUGAAUAGAUACCCUGGUAGUCCACGCUGUAAACGCUGCUCACUAGGUCUUGGGAGGUAUCGACCCCUCUUUGGACCGUAGCUAACGCGUUAAGUGAGCCGCCUGGGGAGUACGAACGCAAGUUUAAAACUCAAAGGAAUUGACGGGGACCCGCACAAGUGGUGGAGCGUGUGGUUUAAUUCGAUAGUAAGCGAAGAACCUUACCAAGGCUUGACAUCCCGAGAAAGCGCUGGAAACAGUGCCGUGCCGCAAGGAACUCGGUGACAGGUGUUGCAUGGUUGUCGUCAGCUCGUGCUGUGAAGUGUCCCGUUCAGUCGGUUAACGAGCGCAACCCCUAUCCUGUGUUACACUUCUCACAGGAAACUGCCCGGGUUAACCGGGAGGAAGGUGGGGAUGAUGUCAAAUCAGCAUGGCCCUUACGCCUUGGGGCUACACACGCGCUACAAUGGGUAGGCACAAUGGGUCGCUAAGCCGCGAGGCGGAGCUAAUCCUAACAAAACUACCCUCAGUUCGGAUUGGAGGCUGCAACUCGCCUCCAUGAAGCCGGAAUC